UGGGGCCAUAGGUGUUGAAGUAUGUAACUUGAGGGCACGUUCAGCCAAGUACUAGUAAAGAAGUGAGUCACAAUAGCUAAAGGACAGACUCCAAGGGAAGAACUACAAAUUGGCUGCUUGGGGGAGAAAACAGAUAUGCAGAUUGGAAGAUUUCAAGAUUUUACUGCACUGAGUGAUUCUGAGAGACUUUCAAGGGCAGACUGUGCUCCAGGGAUGAAACACAGGGCAUGUCUACGCUUACCUCUAGAGCGACUGAUCCAGCAGGGGGUCGAUUUGUCGCAUCUAGUAAAGACGUGAUAAAUCGACCGCCGAGCGCUCUCCAGUCGACUCCGAUACUGCACUAAAGCGAGAAGCGUAGGCAGAGUCAAUGUGGGAGCAUCAGCAGUCGACCUACCGCAGUGAAGACACCGCGGUUAGUCUGGCUUCCAACAGCGGGAGAAGUGAAUAACAAGCCAAUCAACAUGCAAAAUAUUGAACAGAGUAGCACAGCAGACGGCCAUCAGCUGAAUAUGAGAUUAACAUGUGUUUGUAGUCAGGAUAGUUACUCUGUACAUUUGGCUUUCCUGGCAUUGAAAAUAUCUGCUUCACGUGUCUUCCAAGUCAUAUCUAUUUAGUUUGCUGGUCAAAACAAGUUGUUACUAAUGUCAGCGCUGCAGGGCUAAUGUAGCUGUGGAAGUGCAUGCUGGAUUCUGUUCUGAUUUGUGCAUUAUCAAUACAGAUUACCAGCUAAGGGCUUUAUUGUGCUUUCAUUGAAAUCAGUUGGAGUUUUGCUAUUGGCUUCAGUGGAAGCAGGAUUGAGCCCUAACUUCUGAUUCUAAUCUUUUUAUUGCUGGCAAUGUCUGAAACAGCUUGAGUAUACCAGUUUGAGCUCGCAGUGCAUGGCAUUUGGGAAAUUCUCUUUUGAUAUGUGAAUAAAUUAGAUCUGUAUGCCAUUGAGGGAGAUUGAGUAUGCAUUACAUGGCACAAUUCCUCCCCUUUAAUUUCAAUAGAUUAUAAAAUUAUUCUGUGGCAGACUAAACCAGCUAAAUACUUUUGUUAUCCAAGGCCAAGGUACCUAGAAGACCACUCUUAGUCGCUGUGUCCGUUCAGUUCUUGGCCUUUAUACUGAGGUAUACAGUAAACAGGGUGCCACUUAAUGCCAAUGGAGAAACUGGAUUGAUGCCACCAACUCAUUUCAGUAACACAUUUCAGUCACUACCAACCUGGAGUGGAUUUAACCAGCAUUUUAGAAAUUAAAGUCUCUGUAUUGCAUUACAAAUCCCCUGAGACAGCAACUAUUUUUUUUUCUUUUUGCGUUUUCUAUACACCGGUUAGCUACUGUAACUGUAGAUGGUUAACUGCUCCUUAAAUCAUCUCAGUAUCUGCAAGUUAAGAAGCUUUGACUCGUGUGUGUGACGCUCAGCACCUUUCUGUGAGGCAUGUAAAAUAUUUUCCAAAACAGAAUUUUUUACAGUUCUGUUCUGGUGCCAGUACACCCUUAUAAAAGAAGCUAAUCUGAGCUAAUGAUUGUGUAAGAUUAAAAAAAGGAACACAGGAACUUCUCUUCUCUGAAUUUAUGGCAUUACAGUUCUUCCCAUGGCAACAUAGAUAGUCAGAUGUUAGGUAGCAAAGUACAAGCAGAAGAAAAAGGCAAACAAUGAAGGGGAAAAAAACCAGAAUUUAAUGCCAAUUUUUGUAAGAAAAUAAGAACUCAUAGGUAUAAGAGAAGCCUUGUAAAUGUGAAGAAUAUCUUUCAGAGUGCGUUAAUUUUUUUUCUUUUGGACUAGCUUGUUUAAAAUGUAUACAGAAAGCGCUUUA
Mauremys reevesii (Reeves's turtle) is the source of this 1797-nucleotide long non-coding RNA. RefSeq lists it as uncharacterized. Lineage: Eukaryota; Metazoa; Chordata; Testudines; Geoemydidae. The record is from RefSeq and is a predicted model, not a curated record. The transcript is spliced from 6 exons.